GAACGGCAACGGGAGCACUAAAU
This 23-nucleotide microRNA is filed under the name Singapore grouper iridovirus. RNAcentral describes it as "miRNA-13". Lineage: Varidnaviria; Bamfordvirae; Nucleocytoviricota; Megaviricetes; Pimascovirales; Iridoviridae. The record is from RNAcentral.